GCCAGCCCGCUCAGAACUUAAAGGAAUUGACGGGGGCCCGCACAAGCGGUGGAGUAUGUGGUUUAAUUCGAUGCAACGCGAAGAACCUUACCUAGGUUUGACAUCCGGAAGACCUUCCCGAAAAGGAAGGGUGCCCUUCGGGGAAUUCCGAGACAGGUGCUGCAUGGCUGUCGUCAGCUCGUGCCGUGAGGUGUGGGUUAAGUCCCGCAACGAGCGCAACCCUAUUGCCAGUUGCUACCAGGUAAUGCUGGGCACUCUGGUGAGACUGCCCCGGUUAACGGGGAGGAAGGUGGGGACGACGUCAAGUCAUCAUGGCCCUUACGCCUAGGGCUACACACGUACUACAAUGGCGCAUACAAAGGGCAGCGAUACCGCGAGGUGGAGCCAAUCCCAAAAAGUGCGUCCCAGUCCGGAUUGCAGUCUGCAACUCGACUGCAUGAAGUUGGAAUCGCUAGUAAUUCGAGAUCAGCAUGCUCGGGUGAAUGCGUUCCCGGGCCUU
This 499-nucleotide ribosomal RNA is filed under the name uncultured Desulfovibrio sp. RNAcentral describes it as "bacterial SSU rRNA". It matches the Rfam family "Bacterial small subunit ribosomal RNA", at positions 903 to 1382 of the family's 1533-position model. Lineage: Bacteria; Pseudomonadati; Thermodesulfobacteriota; Desulfovibrionia; Desulfovibrionales; Desulfovibrionaceae. The record is from RNAcentral.